UGAAUACAAUUUUUUAAAGAUUAAGGAUAAUACUUUCAAUAGGUAACUAUCCUCUAAAGAGAAUAGAUAAUGGCCACUAUUAUUAAUAGAUUUAGAGCUCUCAGGGACUACAGAGUUCACUGAAUCCAGUCCCCUCAUUUUACAGAUGAGGAAACUGACUCACAGUGAGAUUAAUUAAUUUAACCAGGGAGGACAGGCAGCUAGAAAUGUCUAAGGCAAGAUUUGAAUCCAGGUCUUCUUGACUCCUUGUUUAGCACUUUACUGACUAUACUAUGCUGCUUCAUCUAUUAUUUUUUCAUUCUUUUUCUUUUUUUUUUUUCAGGAGAGGGCUAUAACAGCAUAAUUUCAUUCCCCUUAUUACAUAUGAUUUCAUCAGUAUGGAGAAUUCUGGUUGUGGAAAUUCCCUUACCUAUCAAUGUAGAAAAGCAACUGAUUUGUAAUUUAGAGUUAAAAUAUUGUCUGGAUCAGCAAGAGGUUGUGCCUUGACCAUUGUUACAUGGAUCAUAUGUGUCAAAAUCUUGACUGGAAAUAAGUUGGUUUGUUUUUUAAUCCCAAAUGUGGCCCCUGGCUCCUCAACUCUGAUUCCACAUUCCAGAAACUAGACCAAGUGAAGCCUUCCCUGACAAUUAAGACAGGAUACAAGCAGAAUUUUAAAAAAGAAAGGAAGGAAGGAAGGAAGGAAGGAAGGAAGGAAGGAAGGAAGGAAGGAAGGAAGGAAGGAAGGAAGGAAGGAAGGAAGGAAGGAAGGAAGGAAGGAAGGAAGGAAGGAAGGAAGGAAGGAAGGAAGGAAGGAGGAAGGAGGGAGGGAGGGAGGAAGGAAGGAAGGAAGGAAGGAAGGAAGGAAGUAAGGAAGGAAGGAAGGAAGGAAGGAAGGAAAGAAAGAAAGAAAGAAAGAAAGAAAGAAAGAAAGAAAGAAAGAAAGAAAGAAAGAAAGAAAGAGAAAAAAGAAGGAAGGAAGGAAAAAGAAAGAAAGAAAAGAAGGAAGGAAGGAAGAAGAAAGAAAGAAAGAAAGAAAGGAAGGAAGGAAGGAAGGAAGGAAGGAAGGAAGGAAGGAAGGAAGGAAGGAAGGAAGGAAGGAAGAAAGAAAGAAAGAAAGAAAGAAAGAAAGAAAGAAAGAAAGAAAGAAAGAAAGAAAGAAAGAAAGAAAGAAAGAAAGAAAGAAAGAAAGAAAGAAUCCCAAUCACCCUCUGCCCUCUGCUUUAGGGUCUCAGAAUUCUCUAGGA
This 1223-nucleotide long non-coding RNA is filed under the name Monodelphis domestica (gray short-tailed opossum). RNAcentral's name for it is "lncRNA (ENSMODG00000043952.1)". The record is from RNAcentral. Lineage: Eukaryota; Metazoa; Chordata; Mammalia; Didelphimorphia; Didelphidae.